ACAGACUCACCCGGCAUGUAGCUGCGGUUCCAGGUGGGUGCUUUUCCUGUCUGCCACAGAAACAUCCCCACAUUCUGUAACCACCUUGACCUGCCAAGGGUGAUGCAGCCAUCUGGGGACAUGGGA
Molecule: small nucleolar RNA, 126 nt
Organism: Hyaena hyaena (striped hyena)
Lineage: Eukaryota; Metazoa; Chordata; Mammalia; Carnivora; Hyaenidae
Product: small nucleolar RNA SNORA77
Exons: 1
Source: RefSeq, a predicted model, not a curated record